CUGCAAACCCAUCCCCAAGGCUGGUCCCUCCCUCCCUCCUCCCCCGCCCCCCCCACGCCUCGCCCCUUCCGCCCCCCUCCCCCCUCCCCUCCCUCCCCUCCCCCCCUCGGACACCAGAUGGAACUUGUUUGAUUUCUAAGCGAGAGAGAAAAUUGGCCACAUGCGAGAGGAGGAGAACGAUGCUGAGGCCGCCUCGCUUCUUUUUGGGGCAACGUACGGAGAAUCCACCUGCAAAGGACUGUGAGCCCAAGAAUUUUUCCGAUGCCCACCAGAGGCAAAAGUCGAGUCAAGACAAGCUCAACACCUCCUUGCAUCCACGCNGUUUUCUUGGCAGCCACACAGAAGUGGUUUGUCUCCUCCUUCUGUGGAGGUGCUAGGGAUGGAACAAUGGACUUUCCACAUUCAAAGCAGAUGCUCUUGAGCUGACCUCAAUGCCUGAUGUACCACGGAGACAUCUAUGCAGUUUUCUUUGCAACCAUGNAGAAGUGGUUUGCCAUGACCUUCUUCCACCGGGAUGAGAGGUGUCAUCUGAGGUACCUUUGAUCCAUCUUCCUUUCAAGGUGAUCCUCUUCCCCAACUGUUAUGAUCUCUUNAAGACACAGAGGCAGUCUGGUCAAGUUCAGCUCGUGACUAACCCCAUACCCAGAUGGACACAGUUUUCUUGGCAAAGAAACAGAAGUGGUUGGCCAUUUCUUUCUUCCAGCUGGGGACUGUACUUGGAGAGGUCUGCGUGCGAAGCCGAUGCUUCCUUGCUCAAGAAAUCCCUCAAGAAAUCAGAUCCGAAUGUUGACUUUUCUUUCUCGAUGGUGUGAGAUAAUUCAAUAAAAGACAGGCUCCCCAUAAAGUGGAAAAAUCC
Molecule: long non-coding RNA, 856 nt
Filed under: Salvator merianae (Argentine black and white tegu)
Lineage: Eukaryota; Metazoa; Chordata; Lepidosauria; Squamata; Teiidae
Description: lncRNA (ENSSMRG00000017645.1)
Source: RNAcentral